Molecule: transfer RNA, 87 nt
Filed under: Rhodospirillaceae bacterium
Lineage: Bacteria; Pseudomonadati; Pseudomonadota; Alphaproteobacteria; Rhodospirillales; Rhodospirillaceae
Also listed under: 3 other names
Description: tRNA-Leu
Rfam family: tRNA
About the family: Transfer RNA (tRNA) molecules are approximately 80 nucleotides in length. Their secondary structure includes four short double-helical elements and three loops (D, anti-codon, and T loops). Further hydrogen bonds mediate the characteristic L-shaped molecular structure. tRNAs have two regions of fundamental functional importance: the anti-codon, which is responsible for specific mRNA codon recognition, and the 3' end, to which the tRNAs corresponding amino acid is attached (by aminoacyl-tRNA synthetases). tRNAs cope with the degeneracy of the genetic code in two manners: having more than one tRNA (with a specific anti-codon) for a particular amino acid; and 'wobble' base-pairing, i.e. permitting non-standard base-pairing at the 3rd anti-codon position.
Source: RNAcentral
GCGGGCGUGGCGGAACAGGUAGACGCGCCAGACUCAAAAUCUGGUUCCGGCAACGGAGUGUGAGUUCGAGUCUCACCGCCCGCACCA